This 480-nucleotide ribosomal RNA is filed under the name Filifactor villosus. RNAcentral describes it as "bacterial SSU rRNA". It matches the Rfam family "Bacterial small subunit ribosomal RNA", at positions 9 to 467 of the family's 1533-position model. The record is from RNAcentral. Lineage: Bacteria; Bacillati; Bacillota; Clostridia; Peptostreptococcales; Filifactoraceae.
GAGUUUGAUUCUGGCUCAGGAUGAACGCUGGCGGCGUGCUUAACACAUGCAAGUCGAACGGGCGAAUUAUAUCGGAGGUCUUCGGGCCGAAGAGAUAAUAAGCUAGUGGCGGACGGGUGCGUAACGUGUGGGUAAUCUGCCUUUGUCAUAGGAAUAACUGCUUGAAAAAGUAGCUAAUACCAAAUAACAUAUCGUAUAGGCAUCUAUAAGAUAUCAAAGAGAAAUCGGACAAAGAUGAGCCCGCAUCUGAUUAGCUGGUUGGUAGGGUAAAAGCCUACCAAGGCGACGAUCAGUAGCCGGCCUGAGAGGGUGAACGGCCACAUUGGAACUGAGACACGGUCCAAACUCCUACGGGAGGCAGCAGUGGGGAAUAUUGCACAAUGGGGGGAACCCUGAUGCAGCAACGCCGCGUGAGUGAAGAAGGCUUUCGAGUCGUAAAACUCUGUUGUAAGGGAAGAUAAUGACCGUNCNUAAAGAGCC